UAUAACGAAAUUAUUCGUUAUCAGCUUUUUCUGCUGACUUUCAUUCGGAGGAGUAUUACUACUUUAGAGGCAGGGGGUAUUGCGUCGUAUCAAUUCACAGGCAUAAAAAAAGCGCCCGAAGGCGCUUUUUUUG
This 133-nucleotide small RNA is filed under the name Enterobacter kobei. RNAcentral describes it as "Enterobacteria sRNA STnc130". It matches the Rfam family "Enterobacteria sRNA STnc130". Lineage: Bacteria; Pseudomonadati; Pseudomonadota; Gammaproteobacteria; Enterobacterales; Enterobacteriaceae. The record is from RNAcentral.